UAGCGGAACUCCUACGGGAGGCAGCAGUGGGGAAUCUUGCGCAAUGGGCGAAAGCCUGACGCAGCGACGCCGCGUGGGGGAAGAAGGCCUUCGGGUUGUAAACCUCUUUCAGGAGGGACGAAGCCACUCGGGUUAAUAGCCCAGAGGGUGACGGUACCUCCAGAAGAAGCCCCGGCUAACUACGUGCCAGCAGCCGCGGUAAUACGUAGGGGGCGAGCGUUGUCCGGAUUUAUUGGGCGUAAAGAGCGUGUAGGCGGCCAGGUAGGUCGGUUGUGAAAACUGGAGGCUUAACCUUCAGACGUCGACCGAAACCAUCUGGCUAGAGUCCGGAAGAGGAGAGUGGAAUUCCUGGUGUAGCGGUGAAAUGCGCAGAUAUCAGGAAGAACACCCGUGGCGAAGGCGGCUCUCUGGGACGGUACUGACGCUGAGACGCGAAAGCGUGGGGAGCGAACAGGAUUAGAAACCCUGGUAGUCCACUUAUG
This 482-nucleotide ribosomal RNA is filed under the name uncultured bacterium. Its description in RNAcentral is "bacterial SSU rRNA". It matches the Rfam family "Bacterial small subunit ribosomal RNA", at positions 328 to 803 of the family's 1533-position model. The record is from RNAcentral.